CAUAAAAAAAGAAAAUAAUUCAAUUCUCUCGCCAUCCUUCUCUUAACUCUUUCCCAAAAACCCUAGCUGCGUUUUUGCCUUCACCACCAUUUCAAUGGCAACAUCAUCAGCUCUCUCUUCACUCUCUUCUCUACUGGAUCUGGCGUCGCCAAGAAGGUGAAAUCGAGAAGCAGUAAAGUCGAACGUGUUGGGGCCAGAUCUCCGGUUUACUUAGCCGCCGUUCUGGAAUACCUCGCCGCCGAGCUUGUAGUGAGAAACGACGAGGAGCCGAGCAAGUUGUUUGGUGAAUGUGAUGAUUGCAAAGUGAGGAUUCAGGUUUACAAACUGAGGUUGAACUCACUAGUCCGCCGUAAAUAUUCCAUUCUGAUUUCGUUUUGCUUCUCUUACAAUUUCAGACGGAGACGGUCGUGUUUCUGGUAACGAUGCUACAAAGUUAUUCGCCAUGUCAAAGCUUUCUCGCCAAGAACUCAAACAGGUUUGGGUUUUUGCGGAAUCAAAGCGACAUGGAAUUCUUGGUUUGGUGGAUUUCAUCAUUGCGAUGAAGCUCGUCUCAUUGGCACAAGAUCUUCUGAAAGGUUCUGUUGACAUGAAGAGUGUUGAACUUCCAGUGUUAGAACUUGGAAGAACUGGAAAACGUGGUAUCUAACCUUAAGGUAUUGUGGAUUGCAAGGAUCAGUUCCUGCUUUGACAAGGAUACAAGCACAAGAAGCCUCACUUGGGAAACGAAUGGAAGAAGCCUUUUUUGCUGGUUCAUUUCAGCCAAAACCAUUUUUUCUUAAUUGUGUAAGAGUUACUUCUUGUAGUUUUCUUGAUCAGUGUUCUUUGUUUUUGUUAUCUUUUGUACUUGGGGUUGUAAUGAAUAUGAGGUUAUGUAAUAUGUGUUUUGUUAAUGUAAUAUUAAUUGUAAGUAUUUUUAUAAUUUUUCAAAUUUAA
This is a long non-coding RNA of Camelina sativa (false flax), 933 nucleotides long. RefSeq lists it as uncharacterized. NCBI's taxonomy places the organism in Eukaryota, Viridiplantae, Streptophyta, Magnoliopsida, Brassicales, Brassicaceae. The record is from RefSeq and is a predicted model, not a curated record.